Triticum urartu is the source of this 1373-nucleotide long non-coding RNA. RefSeq lists it as uncharacterized. The record is from RefSeq and is a predicted model, not a curated record. Lineage: Eukaryota; Viridiplantae; Streptophyta; Magnoliopsida; Poales; Poaceae.
GCUCGCCGGAGCAAAGUCUGGCCUCCAGCCGUGGCACUUUUGACAUUCGCCACAUCAAAUUAAAGAGCCACGUUGGAAAACAGCCUCGCCCUUGCUACUCUGCUUCUCCCGCACACGCACGACUCAGAUGCAACUGCAGCGGUGGCGGACGGCAGAGGUCGCCGAAAGCAGGCGGCCGGUGGAGGCCGCCAGAAGCAGGCAACCGUGCUGCGGGUACUUGGCGCGGAUGGCUCCACAACGGCGAACCCCCGGUGAUCCCCCACCAGUGUACGGUUGCCAACUAUUAUCAACAUGGUUGUGUGAAAUGGAGCAUUGUACGAUCAACGGAUCAAGUGUGUUCAGGUUGUUGUAAGCGUUUUCAGGUCCAAGAUGAUGCUAGAGAUCAGUGAUUUUAUCAUCCUCUGGUAGUUGGCACCAGUCUGUUGCAUCUAUGACUAAAGUGCAUCAUUGUUUAUCUUCCCAUUAAUCUUCUUCUGGAAUUGUGGGUGCUUUCAGGUACUCCUUGGGCAAUAUGAUGGCUACAAGGAUGAUCGUACAGUGCCAAAUGUGUCCAACAAAGCUAUUUCUGCAUUAAUUGUACCGUGGUUACACAAUGAGAGAUGGGAAGAUAUAUUAUUUUUCUUCCAAGGCGCUCCUUACCAUUCUGACUGAUGACUUCUUUAGAGCUUGUUUGGCAAUACCUAUCGGAGAGGUUGGAUAUUUGUGCUAAAUCUGAACCGAUUUGCCAAUGGCCAGGUUUGGACUUUGGAGUGAACAUCUCCAGCGGCUUACAUUAGCAAACACCUGGUUGUCUUUGAGAAGUGUGGUUUGGUUAGGUUACGUGGCAGAAGAUAGCUUAGAGGAAAGGAGAAGCUUUGGCUUCAACAUGGAGAGGAGAGUUUGCUGCAUUGCAACUAUCUGAGAUCAUAACAGGCAUUUAGGCCUUGUUUGAUUAAGAUUUAACCCAUGUGGAUUUGGCUUCGACGUGGGUCUCGAUUUGGUUGUUUACAACUGCUAAACCUUGACGACCAGGACCGGAUGUUGCAAAUACAAUGGAUUUAUGUUUUGUGCUUUCGUCUCGGUUUGGAUGUUUAAUUUGUCUUGUUGAUUAUUGGAGAUUUGUUGUAUUGGUGAAUGGUGAGAUACACCUCCUGUAGCAGUAAUGUUCCUGAAAAUGUACCCUUUUUGAGAUGAGAGAUUGAAUGCUUUUGAUUAAAGUUUGUUCAAUUGUUGUUGACCAAUUUUUUCGUUUCCUGUCCGUGUGGCUUUAGUAAAAUUUGGCUAAGCUAGGCUAGGCUAGAAAUGAAGCUACGCUAAGCUGUAAGCUUGUAAAUAAGACAAGAUGUUUUUUGACAUUCAUGCAUUGCUUUGAAGUAGUAGUUGAAGCAAGAAAG